GACGUAGGGUGCGAGCGUUGUCCGGAAUUAUUGGGCGUAAAGGGCUCGUAGGCGGUCUGUCGCGUCGGGAGUGAAAACUCAGGGCUUAACCCUGAGCCUGCUUCCGAUACGGGCAGACUAGAGGUAUGCAGGGGAGAACGGAAUUCCUGGUGUAGCGGUGGAAUGCGCAGAUAUCAGGAGGAACACCGGUGGCGAAGGCGGUUCUCUGGGCAUUACCUGACGCUGAGGAGCGAAAGUGUGGGGAGCGAACAGG
This 253-nucleotide ribosomal RNA is filed under the name uncultured bacterium. RNAcentral describes it as "partial 16S ribosomal RNA". It matches the Rfam family "Bacterial small subunit ribosomal RNA", at positions 524 to 776 of the family's 1533-position model. The record is from RNAcentral.